CAAUAGCGUAUAUUUAAGUUGUUGCAGUUAAAAAGCUCGUAGUUGGAUUUCGGUUAAGAGCGACCGGUCCGCCGUUUGGUGUGCACUGGUUGGUUUUAACUUCCUGUAGAGGACGUGCUCUGGGUUUAACGACCUGGACUCGGAGUCUACGUGGUUACUUUGAAAAAAUUAGAGUGUUCAAAGCGGGCUUACGCUUGAAUAUUUCAGCAUGGAAUAACACUAUAGGACUCCUGUCCUAUUUCGUUGGUCUCGGGACGGGAGUAAUGAUUAAGAGGAACAGUUGGGGGCAUCCGUAUUUCAUUGUCAGAGGUGAAAUUCUUGGAUUUAUGAAAGACGAACUUCUGCGAAAGCAUUUGCCAAGGAUGUUUNCAUUAA
This 375-nucleotide ribosomal RNA is filed under the name uncultured eukaryote. Its description in RNAcentral is "partial 18S ribosomal RNA". It matches the Rfam family "Eukaryotic small subunit ribosomal RNA", at positions 592 to 976 of the family's 1831-position model. The record is from RNAcentral.